This 302-nucleotide ribosomal RNA is filed under the name uncultured Alphaproteobacteria bacterium. Its description in RNAcentral is "bacterial SSU rRNA". It matches the Rfam family "Bacterial small subunit ribosomal RNA", at positions 29 to 358 of the family's 1533-position model. The record is from RNAcentral. Lineage: Bacteria; Pseudomonadati; Pseudomonadota; Alphaproteobacteria.
ACGAACGCUGGCUCCAGGCCUAAACAUGCAAGUCGAGCGGCCGUAGCAAUACGGCAGCGGCAGACGGGAGCGUAACACGUGGGAACGCGCCCUUCGGUUCGGAAUAACUCAGGGAAACUUGGGCUAAUACCGGAUACGCCCUUACGGGGAAAGAUUUAUUGCCGAAGGAACGGCCCGCGUCCGAUUAGCUUGUUGGUGAGGUAACGGCUCACCAAGGCGACGAUCGGUAGCUGGUCUGAGAGGAUGACCAGCCUCACUGGGACUGAGACACGGCCCAGACUCCUACGGGAGGCAGCAGUGGG